RNAcentral lists this ribosomal RNA (460 nucleotides) under uncultured bacterium. RNAcentral describes it as "partial 16S ribosomal RNA". It matches the Rfam family "Bacterial small subunit ribosomal RNA", at positions 338 to 795 of the family's 1533-position model. The record is from RNAcentral.
CCUACGGGCGGCAGCAGUGAGGAAUAUUGGUCAAUGGGCGGGAGCCUGAACCAGCCAAGUCGCGUGAGGGAAGACGGUCCUACGGAUUGUAAACCUCUUUUGCCGGGGAGCAACGGGGUCCUUGCGAGGGCCCGAUGAGAGUACCCGGAGAAAAAGCAUCGGCUAACUCCGUGCCAGCAGCCGCGGUAAUACGGAGGAUGCGAGCGUUAUCCGGAUUUAUUGGGUUUAAAGGGUGCGUAGGCGGGCUGUUAAGUCAGCGGUCAAAUGUCGGGGCUCAACCCCGGCCUGCCGUUGAAACUGGCGGCCUCGAGUGGGCGAGAAGUAUGCGGAAUGCGUGGUGUAGCGGUGAAAUGCGUAGAUAUAAGGAAGAACACCAGUGGCGAAGGCGGAUUACUGGACGAUAACUGACGGUGAGGCGCGAAAGCGUGGGGAGCAAACAGGAUUAGAUACCCCGGUAGUC